RNAcentral lists this ribosomal RNA (209 nucleotides) under Neopomacentrus azysron (yellow-tail demoiselle). RNAcentral's name for it is "partial 16S ribosomal RNA". The record is from RNAcentral. Lineage: Eukaryota; Metazoa; Chordata; Actinopteri; Pomacentridae.
GCCCAACAGCUAGCCUAAUUAUUUAAAACAACACCCCCCUAUUAAUACCCCCAAAUACACUACAAACAAACAAACAAAACAUUUUUCCCCCUUAGUACGGGCGACGAAAAAGGAAGAAAAGAGCAAUAGAGAAAGUACCGCAAGGGAAAGCUGAAAAAGAAAUGAAAUAACCCAGUAAAGCCAAAAAAAGCAGAGACUUAACCUCGAUU